This 6144-nucleotide long non-coding RNA is filed under the name Citrus sinensis (sweet orange). RNAcentral's name for it is "long non-coding RNA (CSIN_LNC002422)". Lineage: Eukaryota; Viridiplantae; Streptophyta; Magnoliopsida; Sapindales; Rutaceae. The record is from RNAcentral.
CCCUAAUGUCUUCUAAGGCUCCAACUAUUUCAAGGGAAAGGAAGCACUCCAGUGCCAAUGCCAACUCCACCGGCAGAACCACCACCAACGCCGCCACCAGCACCACCGCCAACGCCGCCACCCACGCCACCAACUCCACCAAGCCCACUUGAACCACCGAGCCCACUAGCACCACCGAGGCCACCGACUCCACCAAUUCCUCCAAGCCCACCAGCACCACCGAGGCCAGUAAUCCCACCAAGACCUCCAACUCCACCAAACGGAAGCCCAUUAGAACCAAUGCCGGAGAAGCCACCAACACCACCGUAUGUUAGAAAGUUCUUUUGAUCAUCAAGGCCAGCAUCAGUGGGCGCACUUUUGGCAGUGUUAUGAACCACUUGAUCAUCAUGAUCACUAGGCGUAUUUCUUGCACUAGUGUGAACCGCUGCUACAGCAAGAACAAGCAUGACAUUGGCACACCACUUUGCCAUCUCUCUCAAAGAUUAUUAUUAUUUGAUUACUAUUAUGAAUUUUUCUUCUUAGUACAUGUGAACUAUUGUUGCGGGAGUCUCCUUAUAAAGGCUAAGAGGGCAUUGGGGAGGUAGUUGUGGGUAGUAAAUAGAAUUGAAUGCGGGCAACUUAGCUGGCACACUCGCUCAUAAGGUCUGCUGUUUGAAAUAUAUAUUUUCAAGGAUUUGUGCUUAGAGUAAAAUUGUUAUAGGAGUCAUCGUAAUGGUUUAAACGCCUGCUGUACGGCCAAGGCGGAUGUACGGUACAGCAGAAAUUUUGUUUUCAGAAGUACUGCAAGUUUUAAAAACAAUUAUGGACGUUUGAUAAAUUUUACUAUUAAACUGCUGAGAGUAAGUAAAUGAUUAAAAUAUAAAUAAUAUAGGAUAAAAUUUACUUAUACAUGUGAAAACACGUACACACAAUAUUUUUAAUUUUGUAUGAUGAUAAUUUUAACUAAAAAUAAAAUUUAUAAUAUAUAUUGAUUUUAUUUUUUAUCGUAAACAAUUGAUAAUUAAAUUUAUAAUAUAGUGAAACAAAUUUAAUAAUAAAUCGACCAACAAAUAUUGAUGAAUCAUAAUAAAAAUUUACUAAAAUAUUGGUUUUGUUUCCAAUUGAAUAAGAAUAAUUUUGGGUUUAGGUAAUAAUUUUAAAGAUAUUGAUGGAAUUGUAUUAAAGGAUAAAAUUGAUUUUUAAAAUCAGAAUCUAAAAGCUACUUCUUACUUACUUUUCAAAAUCAUCUGUAGUAGAGGCUGAUUUUGACAAAAGUGAUUUUGAUUUUUUUUUUUUACCAAACACUAAAAUUAACUUUUAGAUUUUUAAAAUUAGUUUUAAAUCUCCUAAAAGCAAUCCCAAAUAGAGCCUAACUCUAUUAUAAAUUCUUAAUUAAUAGCUCAUCUAAUAUUUGGUGUUAAAACAUGGACAAAAUAUCACAAAUUGGUAGGUAAAUUUGGACAUUUCAUUUCCACGACAUAUAGUCAAGUUUAAGGCUGUGGCCCGACAAAUUAAUGACCUUACUUUGCUUAGUGUAACGUAAUGCAUGAGCUUCGAUAACUUCAUAUGUAAACUUUAGUUGCUUUCGUUAAAGUUCUAUAACAUCAGUCAUCUCCAUUUAAAAGACAGAAGAAGAAGAAGAUAAAACACGCGAUUUAAUUAUUUACGUCGAAUAUCUCUGAAGUAGAGAAUUACAUUACAAUAACAUACCAAAAGCUCUCAAAACUAAAACUCAAAAGCAAACAGUAACUGAAACCAAAGUAAACGAACUAUCACACGAACAUGGCAUUAAAACUAAACUUUCUUAAUAACGCGCACGGGAAUAACGUGCACGGGAAACCCUCAAACAGGAAAAACCUUGAUUAAUUAAAAGCAAGUAAAGAAGCCCUAAUGUCUUCUAAGGCUCCAACUAUUUCAAGGGAAAGGAAGCACUCCAGUGCCAAUGCCAACUCCACCGGCAGAACCACCACCAACGCCGCCACCAGCACCACCUCCAACGCCGCCGCCACCGCCAACGCCGCCACCCACGCCACCAACUCCACCAAGCCCACUUGAACCACCGAGCCCACUAGCACCACCGAGGCCACCGACUCCACCAAUUCCUCCAAGCCCACCAGCACCACCGAGGCCAGUAAUCCCACCAAGACCUCCAACUCCACCAAACGGAAGCCCAUUAGAACCAAUGCCGGAGAAGCCACCAACACCACCGUAUGUUAGAAAGUUCUUUUGAUCAUCAAGGCCAGCAUCAGUGGGCGCACUUUUGGCAGUGUUAUGAACCACUUGAUCAUCAUGAUCACUAGGCGUAUUUCUUGCACUAGUGUGAACCGCUGCUACAGCAAGAACAAGCAUGACAUUGGCACACCACUUUGCCAUCUCUCUCAAAGAUUAUUAUUAUUUGAUUACUAUUAUGAAUUUUUCUUCUUAGUACAUGUGAACUAUUGUUGCGGGAGUCUCCUUAUAAAGGCUAAGAGGGCAUUGGGGAGGUAGUUGUGGGUAGUAAAUAGAAUUGAAUGCGGGCAACUUAGCUGGCACACUCGCUCAUAAGGUCUGCUGUUUGAAAUAUAUAUUUUCAAGGAUUUGUGCUUAGAGUAAAAUUGUUAUAGGAGUCAUCGUAAUGGUUUAAACGCUUGGGGUACCAGCUGAAAGAAAGUUACUGCGAUGGCCAGAGUGGCAAAUGCAGAAAUAAACAUGCAUGCCAGAUAUGGUGGUGACAAAUGAAAUGCUGAUUAGGGAUGUGGCGUUCGGGCAUGUGAUAUGCAGAGAAACAUUUGCCCAACCAAUCAAGUAAUUACAUUUGGUUGGAAGAAAAGGGCCGAUGUGAAGUGAUUGACUCAAUUCUGGGCAUUAUUAAUUUCCUGGACCAUUUCCAAUGACAUGAAAAAUUUUAAACUGUGUGUGACAAGGAACCUUACCUUUUGAGUUUUGAGAGGAAAUGCAAAUCCUAAUUAAGCUGUGAAAAAGUAAAAUUAAAUGUUCUUGCGUUGCGGAGAAUUAAGUAAAAAGUCAUCGAGCCUUUUCACUGAGCUGUAGUCCAUAACUCAUAAUACGUAGUAGCACGUGGUCAAUUCUAAACAUCAAUUUUUUUUUAUUAAAAAAAACUCUAAACAUUGAAUUAAUUUGCAAGAAAUAUUUCUUUUUUUUUUUUCAUCUUGGUAUUAGACUUCUAUAUCAAACAUUUUCUACUGUCAUUAUACUUUUUAUUCUACUAAUUAAUUUGCUUAUCUAAUCUAAAAGAAAAAAAAUUCUUAUCUCAACUAAAUUUGCGUGUUUUGGUUACUUUACUCACUCACUUUGUCAAUCUAGUUUUCUCUAACUAAAGACUUUUAGUUAACAUGUACUGACACAUUAAUUUAAUGGUAAAAUCUGUCCAAUCCUUUGGGACCAUCGUAAUUCAAGAGUUUGGAAAAAGUUAAACACUAUUUGCACACAAAAUUAUAAAUAAAAAUGAAUUAAUAAAUUUGUACAAUUUUAUAUGCAAGUAGCAUUACUCAUGGCAAAAUUUGAAGCAGUUAAUGGUUUUAUAUAGGGUAAGUUGAUUAUUAAAGAAUUAGAUUGUUUUGUUAAAUCUGAUUGGUGGUUAUUAAAUAUAAAGUUUCCAUUCAAUAUUUUAAUUUACUGUUGAGUUGCAUUAAAUAUUGGUUGGUCAAUGGAAGUCAGCUGCUAAAUUCAAUGUCGACCUACAUUCAAUCUCUACCUAACAAGUUUAAUUUGGGAUCGGAUACCUGCACAUUCUAAGUCCACCCCAAAUAUUACACUCCACCAUUCCCAACUCUUUACACCUAAAUUGAGAAAAUCGUUUGGAGAAAAUAUUGGUCAACACUAAUUGAAUCGUUGACUUAAACUAUAGGAAAUAAUAGAACAUUUACAACUGAGAAAAGUUUAGUAACACGACACAUAAAUUCUCCACCAGUUUUAUUUUUUCCUCUAUGUAUAGUAGUGUCUUUCAGCUAUAGGAUCAUUUUUCUAAUAUAUAAAUUAUCAUUAAAAUACAUGCUUAUUGAUAACGUAUUAUCAGUUUUGAUAUUCAGUUAUUGAUUCACCGAUCAUCCAAUUGAAGAAACGUGUUUUCAUUUCUUGAAUAAAACAUUAUACACUGAGAGUUAUUUAUAGAUGCAGAUGCUACAUUUUUUCAAAGAUUACAUAUGUAAAUACGGAAGGAAAUAGGUCUGUGUUGUGCGCGAGAGCUGGGCUGACGCUGGUGCUGCGUUGCGUUGCGCGCGCGGGACUGAUGUACUGCGCGAGGGUGAUUGCUGGAUUGAUUUGCGCUGUGCGCGCGAGCUGGAGCUGAGGAUCUGCGUUGCUAGGCGUUACUGCUGCUGCUUCGCGGGAUGUGUUGCGUGCACGGUUGCUGCUGAUUUCGCACAAUGGUGAUGGCUGGGGCUUGCUGCGUUGCACGCGGCUGCUUUCGCUGGUGGGACUUCGUUGCGCGCUGCUGGGCUGCGAGACACGGGAUGCUGGUGUUGCGCUCACGAGAUGGUGCGUUUUCCGGCGGGCUGGUUUGCUGCUGGUGUGCUGCAAGCGGCUGGAGAAGAAAACAAGUUCUGGAAAAUUAGGGAUUUUGUGAACAGUGAAUAGUGAACAGUGAUUUUCGAUUUUUGGUUUUUUUUUAAAUAAAUAAACAUAAUCAUUAAAGAACAUAUAUGGGAAUUAAAUAAAUAAAUAAAAUAAUUAUUUCAUUGAAUAGGGUUUCAUCUUUAACCUCAGUAUAAGAAAAUUAGCUGGACAUACUUAAAUUGGGAGCAACAAAAAAAAUAAAAUCAGCCAUGGGAAGCCGAAAUAUUGCUGCUGCAACUGGUCUCUUCCAACCUGACAUACUUGAAUUGGGAGCAACAAAAGAAAUAAAAUCAGCCAUGGGAAGCUUCCUUUUCCAAUUAUGAAACAAAGCUUCCAUAAUAACGCCAGCCAUUAAUUCCACUUUUGAAAGUCAAGUGUGGGCCCCAUUUAAAUUGCUUUCCCCUUUUGCAAUGCUAUGGACGUGCAACUCAAUUGGAGAAUUGAAAUUCUUUUUCAAUGCAAAUUGCUCUUAGCUCUUAACUCUAUCACAGCUUCAACUAAUAUUUCUCUAAAUUAUUAUUUUUUUUGCACUUUUUAUUUCCAAUCUCCAAUUAAUUUCCUAUUCAAUAAAACAAUUCAAUUAAUUAAAAAUAACAAAUAAAAUUAACUAGCAAAUAUACAAUAAAGGGUAAAAUAUGUAUAUAAAUUAUGCUCAUCACAUUGCUUAAUAUUUAUUAUUAUGGUUGGUUGAAUUAUAUACAUGGCAAUUAAUGAAUGAAAAUACAGGUGCUCCUGAAUCCCAAAACAUUUCCACGACAUAUAGUCAAGUUUAAGGCUGUGGCCCGACAAAUUAAUGACCUUACUUUGCUUAGUGUAACAUAAUGCAUGAGCUUCGAUAACUUCAUAUGUAAACUUUAGUUGCUUUAGCUAAGGUUCUAUAACAUCAGUCAUCUCCAUUUAAAAGACAGAAGAAGAAGAUAAAACACGCGAUUAAAUUAUUUACGUCGAAUAUCUCUGAAGUAGAGAAUUACAUUACGAUAACAUACCAGAAGCUCUCAAAGCUAAAAAUCAAAAGCAAACAGUAACUGAAGCCGAAGUAAACGAACUAUCACACGAACAUGACAUUAAACUAAACUUUCUUAAUAACGUGCACGGGAAACCCUCAAACAGGAAAAACCUUGAUUAAUUAAAAGCAAGUAAAGAAGCCCUAAUGUCUUCUAAGGCUCCAACUAUUUCAAUGGAAAGGAAGCACUCCGGUGCCAGUGCCAACUCCACCGGCAGAACCACCACCAACGCCGCCACCAGCACCACCGCCAACGCCGCCACCCACGCCACCAACUCCACCAAGCCCACUUGAACCACCGAGACCACCGACUCCACCAAUUCCUCCAAGCCCACCAGCACCACCGAGGCCAGUAACGCCAGCAAGACCUCCAACUCCACCAAGCGGAAGCCCAUUAGAACCAAUGCCGGAGAAGCCACUGACACCACCGUAUGUUAGAAAGUUCUUUUGAUCAUCAAGGCCAGCACCAGAGGGUGCAUUUUUGGCAGCGUUAUGAACCACUUGAUCAUCAUGAUCACUAGGCGUGUUUCUUGCACUAGUGUGAACCGCUACUACAGCAAGAACAAGCAUGACAGUGACACACCACUUUGCCAUCUCUCUAUAAGAUU